AUCACUUCUCAGCCUUUUAGCUAAGAUCAUGUAUUAUAUCUGUUCUUAUCAAUUUAAUAUCUGAUAUGUCCUCUAUUUGAGGACUCUAUAUUAAAUGGAUUUUUGGAAUUUGGAAAUUAAAAAAAAAAAGAUUAUUGUAAUGCACUCUAUGUGAGGCUGCCCUUGUACCUAGUUCAGAAGCUGCAACCAGUGCAAAAUGCAGCAGCACAG
This 210-nucleotide small nuclear RNA is filed under the name Salvator merianae (Argentine black and white tegu). RNAcentral describes it as "U2 spliceosomal RNA (ENSSMRG00000012726.1)". The stretch from base 1 to 185 matches the Rfam family "U2 spliceosomal RNA". From Rfam's summary of the family: U2 is a small nuclear RNA (snRNA) component of the spliceosome (involved in pre-mRNA splicing). Complementary binding between U2 snRNA (in an area lying towards the 5' end but 3' to hairpin I) and the branchpoint sequence (BPS) of the intron results the bulging out of an unpaired adenosine, on the BPS, which initiates a nucleophilic attack at the intronic 5' splice site, thus starting the first of two transesterification reactions that mediate splicing. The record is from RNAcentral. Lineage: Eukaryota; Metazoa; Chordata; Lepidosauria; Squamata; Teiidae.